This 667-nucleotide ribosomal RNA is filed under the name uncultured bacterium. Its description in RNAcentral is "bacterial SSU rRNA". It matches the Rfam family "Bacterial small subunit ribosomal RNA", at positions 56 to 719 of the family's 1533-position model. The record is from RNAcentral.
UGCAAGUCUACGGGAAAGGGGUAGCAAUAUCCCGAGUAUAGUGGCGCACGGGUGAGUAACACGUAGGCAAUUUGCCUUUAGGACGGGGACAACUCCGCGAAAGCGGAGCUAAUACCCGAUAAUGCAGCGGCAUCACAUGUUGAUGUUGUUAAAGGCCCGCAAGGGCGCCUAGAGAUGAGCCUGCGUCCCAUUAGGUAGUUGGCGGGGUAAUAGCCCACCAAGCCUGCGAUGGGUAGCUGGUCUGAGAGGAUGAUCAGCCACACUGGAACUGAGACACGGUCCAGACUCCUACGGGAGGCAGCAGUGAGGAAUAUUGCGCAAUGGCCGAAAGGCUGACGCAGCGACGCCGCGUGAAGGAUGAAGUCCGUUAGGAUGUAAACUUCUUUUGCAGGGGAUGAAUGUGGAGUUUUACUCCAUUGACCGUACCCUGCGAAUAAGGAUCGGCUAACUACGUGCCAGCAGCCGCGGUAAUACGUAGGAUCCGAGCGUUGUCCGGAAUUACUGGGUGUAAAGGGCGUGUAGGUGGGUUCCUAAGUCGGUGGUGAAAUCUUGCAGCUUAACUGCAAAAUUGCCGUCGAUACUGGGGAUCUUGAGUACGGCAGAGGGAGAUGGAAUUCAUGGUGUAGCGGUGAAAUGUGUAGAUAUCAUGAAGAACACCGGUAGCGAA